AUGACAGAGUCGGAUAUGAGAAAACGCUGUGUCGGCACUCUUCUGGUCCUCAUGCUGAUACAGACAGGCAUGACAGACAGUGGGAUUUCUGUGUCUCACAAAUGGCAUGGAGACCACCUAUCUAUCACCUGUCGUCUCAUGGGGGACAAAGACACUGUUUCUCAGAUCAACUGGGAGAUGACCAGCAGUUCGAACCACACCACCACCAGAUUGAAACUGGGCAUCUUCCACCCCGUGUUUGGUACCUACGUGGUCCCGGAGUACAACGAUACUGUGGAGAUCCAGGGAAACGCCUCCAGCGGCCAUUACACGCUCAGGCUGAGAGGUAGCACUGUGUUGGAGGAGAGUCAGUUCUGCUGUAAAUUCAUGACCUUUCCCUCUGGAGGGCUGGAGCACUGUACAAAUACCAGGAUUAAUGAAAGCACAGAGGAGGCCCAGGUGUCAGAAGGCCCACAGGGUUUACUAGAGGAGAGACAAGUGGAGCAGUGGGCUCUGCUAGUAAUGGGACCUACCAUCUGUCUCCUCAGUAUCGCGAUCUCUCUCUACUACUGCUUGAAGUAUUGCUGCAGACACUGCUGCCGCAGGAGGCGAGUGUUCGAGGUGGAGACUUAUCUGACAGACCAGCACACAGACUCGGAGGAGGUCACAGAGGAGCCACCCCAUCAACCCCCCCUUCCCUCACCCCCUCCCCUCCAGCUCCAGGGUUUUGACCCCUCUAAGCUCUACACUAAGAUCAAGCAGGACCUGCUGUAUGGACGACUGUGGAAGGCCUACCAGGGGACAGCUAAGGCCUGGGGCCCCACAACACAGCAGGGUCCACACCAGCAAGGGCCACAACAAGGGGCAGAACUAGGGCCACAAAAGGUCUAUUUUCUUCUGGGGGAUCAUCGGGUGUCACAGAGAGAGGAAUCAGAAGAACCAGAACUAGAACCUAAUCUAGAACAAGAACAAGAACCUCAACCAACCCUUGAAAGAACCGUGGAACCACAGACUGAGCCUGAACCUAUCCAUCCUUUAGCCCUGGAACCUGGAACACAGAUGGAGGUUCAAGAACCAGAAUGUAAUUUAGAACUAGAACCCAACUUCCCAUCAACCCUUUCUGCACAGAGGGAGGAACUGGAAUCAUACAUAGGAACAGAGAAAGAGGAAAUUGAAGAAACCAGAGACUAACCCUUCAGCAAGGAGGUUCAUGAAGGGAAGGUGUGUUGUGUUGUUGUGUGUGUGUGCGGGCCGUGCGUGUGUGCGUGUGUACGUGUGUGUUGGGAGGAAUAAUGCACUGUUGACAUUGGGUGAAUAACCCUGACCUCCUAAGGUUAGCUGUCAAUCAAUACGAUUAAUAAUUAUUGCCCCAGUGAGAAAUUUGGAGUAAAAAUUAAACUCACAGGUAAUCGCCAUGGUUUUUUGUUUACUGUGAACAUCGUACGUGUGGUUAGACGUCUCUCUCUCUCUCUCUCUCUCUCUCUCUCUCUCUCUCUCUCUCUCUCUCUCUCUCUCUCUCUCUCUCUCUCUCUCUCUCUCUCUCUCUCUCUCUCUCUCUCUCUCUCUCUCUCUCUCUCUCUCUCUCUCUCUCUCAGACAGACUGUACAUACUGCACACCACACACGCACACUGGUAAAUGGGGUUUGAAGUCUCGGCCAUCGCUCAGCUGUUUCUCACAUUUGAGCUCACAACAGUGUGGCAUAUAACGUAACUGGUAUACUGUUAACAGACAGAAGAAGCAGGGGAAUGUCUUUCAAGCAGAGCUUUUUUAUAACAUUUCCUGUAUUUAGUGCGAUGUGAAUAGAACAUUAUGCUUUUGAAUAUAGUAAUGGGUUGCAUGACCUUUAGAUUCUAAAAAAGAGCUGUUAUAGCCAACUGAUCUGUUAUUGUAAGGAGCAAGACAGUGAGUGAUUUUUAUUUUGUGUAUCCGGUUUUGUGAUUGCAAUUUCUGUAUAUAAUGUUUAUACUUUAGUUUAAAUAAAAAAUCGGACUAGCAAAAGUGUUAGAGUCCUUCACUUGAUAUCUAGAAUAUGCCUGCUUUUUGGGGGGCCACUGGGGGACGACACAAGACCAUUUAUUCACUAACCUCGGUCCCAGGAAAUUUAGCACAACACAUACGUCAACGAUUCAUAGUUGGCCUUAGUGGGAGUGACCAUCAGGCUUGUGGUAAUGGCUGGAGCGGAAUCAGUGGAAUGGUAUCAAAUACGUCAAACAAUGUUUCCAGGUGUUAUAUGCCAUUCCAUAUGUUCCGCUCCAGACAUUAUUAUGAUUUUUCUCCCCUCAGCAGACUCACGUGGUUCUAACAGACUAAUGCAUGUAAAAUAAUGUGUUAUGAGGCAAAGAAUAUUAAUUAUGGAUACAGUAGUUCUUCCAGAAACAAUUUGAAAAUAAGUCAAAACAAAUAGGCUAGCCAAAAUCGGGAAUAGCAGUAGGCUACAAUGGCAUAUGUGACACUUGUUACAAUGAAUUACAAUUGCAGUACAGGUUUCUGACAUUUCCAGUCCAAGUCCAGGUGAAAAGUCAACUUUUAUAACGGUUACACAGAAGGCCACAAUUGGGACUAAAGUUCAAUCCCUUCCUGAUGUUAUUAGGCAGCCUAGUCUCACAGACAAGACGUAACAUACUAAAUGAAAAGCGGCGACACUCAAAUUACUAGGGGCCGAUGAGAUGUUACAUUUGGUAUGGUUACAUAAGACAGAUGGUUACUUAAGGCAAGUAACGCAAAUGUCAAGCAACCCAAAGGUUGCGUGUUCAACUCUCAUCACGGACAACUUUAGCAUUUCAGCUAAUUAGCAACUUCAGCAAUUACUUACUACUUUACAAAUAAUUAGCAUGUUAGCUAACCUAACCUUAACCCUUUAACCUAACUCAUAACCUUAACCUUAACCCCUAAAGCCAAGUUUAGCUAACCCCCUAAUCCUAACCAUAAAUCCCUUUAACCCAGAGUUCCCCAACUGGUGGCCCGCCAAAGGCUGUAAAAACACCAGCAAAGACUUAAAAACACCAGCAAAUCAGCUCCAAGUGAUUUCAAAUUAGGAAGCAUUCCCACGCAUAGAGAAAUAUACAACACCAAUCAAAAGUUUGGACACAUCUACUCAUUCAAUGGUUUUUAUUUAUUUGUACUAUUUUCUACAUUGUAGAAUAAUAAUGCAGACAUCAAAAAUAUCAAGUAACACAUAUGAAAUCAUGUAUCAACCAAAAAUGUGUUAAUCAAAUCAAAUCAAAAUAUAUUUUAUAUUUUAUAUUCUUCAAAGUAGCCACUCUUUGCCUUGAUGACAGCUUUGAACACUCUUGGAAUUCUCUCAACCAGCUUCACCUGGAAUGCUUUUCCAACAGUCUUGAAGGAGUUCCUGCAUAUGCUGAGCACUCAUUGAAAACCAUCUCAGUUGGGUUGAGGUUGGUUGAUUGUGUUGACCUUUUGCCACAUUUCAGGCUUCAAACAUGAAGAUAUAAAACUGUAUUUUUUUGUGAAGAAUCAACAACAAAUGGGACACAAUCAUGAAGUGGAACAACAUUUAUUGGAUAUUUCAAACUUUUUUAACAAAUCAAAAACUGAAAAAUUGGGCGUGCAAAAUUAUUCAGCCCCUUUACUUUCAGUGCAGCAAACUCUCUCCGGAAGUUCAGUGAGGAUCUCUGAAUGAUCCAAUGUUGACCUAAAUGACUAAUGAUGAUAAAUACAAUCCACCUGUGUGUAAUCAAGUCUCCGUAUAAAUGCACCUGCACUGUGAUAGUCUCAGAGGUCCGUUAAAAGCGCAGAGAGCAUCAUGAAGAACAAGGAACACACCAGGCAGGUCCGAGAUACUGUUGUGAAGAAGUUUAAAGCCGGAUUUGGAUACAAAAAGAUUUCCCAAGCUUUAAACAUCCCAAGGAGCACUGUGCAAGCGAUAAUAUUGAAAUGGAAGGAGUAUCAGACCACUGCAAAUCUACCAAGACCUGGCCGUCCCUCUAAACUUUCAGCUCAUACAAGGAGAAGACUGAUCAGAGAUGCAGCCAAGAGGCCCAUGAUCACUCUGGAUGAACUGCAGAGAUCUACAGCUGAGGUGGGAGACUCUGUCCAUAGGACAACAAUCAGUCGUAUAUUGCACAAAUCUGGCCUUUAUGGAAGAGUGGCAAGAAGAAAGCCAUUUCUUAAAGAUAUCCAUAAAAAGUGUUGUUUAAAGUUUGCCACAAGCCACCUGGGAGACACACCAAACAUGUGGAAGAAGGUGCUCUGGUCAGAUGAAACCAAAAUUAAACUUUUUGGCAACAAUGCAAAACGUUAUGUUUGGCGUAAAAGCAACACAGCUGAACACACCAUCCCCACUGUCAAACAUGGUGGUGGCAGCAUCAUGGCUUGUGCCUGCUUUUCUUCAGCAGGGACAGGGAAGAUGGUUAAAAUUGAUGGGAAGAUGGAUGGAGCCAAAUACAGGACCAUUCUGGAAGAAAACCUGAUGGAGUCUGCAAAAGACCUGAGACUGGGACGGAGAUUUGUCUUCCAACAAGACAAUGAUCCAAAACAUAAAGCAAAAUCUACAAUGGAAUGGUUCAAAAAUAAACAUAUCCAGGUGUUAGAAUGGCCAAGUCAAAGUCCAGACCUGAAUCCAAUCAAGAAUCUGUGGAAAGAACUGAAAACUGCUGUUCACAAAUGCUCUCCAUCCAACCUCACUGAGCUCGAGCUGUUUUGCAAGGAGGAAUGGGAAAAAAUGUGUCUCUCGAUGUGCAAAACUGAUAGAGACAUACCCCAAGCGACUUACAGCUGUAAUCGCAGCAAAAGGUGGUGCUACAAAGUAUUAACUUAAGGGGGCUGAAUAAUUUUGCACUCCCAAUUUUUCAGUUUUUGAUUUGUUAAAACAUUUUGAAAUAUCCAAUAAAUGUCGUUCCACUUCAUGAUUGUGUCCCACUUGUUGUUGAUUCUUCACAAAAAAAUACAGUUUUAUAUCUUUAUGUUUGAAGCCUGAAAUGUGGCAAAAGGUCGCAAAGUUCAAGGGGGCCGAAUACUUUCGCAAGGCACUGUAUCUAUCUAUCUCUCUCUCUCUCUCUAUAUA
Oncorhynchus mykiss (rainbow trout) is the source of this 5003-nucleotide long non-coding RNA. Lineage: Eukaryota; Metazoa; Chordata; Actinopteri; Salmoniformes; Salmonidae. The record is from Ensembl.